CAGCAGCCACGGUAAUGCGGAGGGAGCUAGCGUUGUUCGGAAUUACUGGGCGUAAAGCGCACGCAGGCGGUUUGUUAAGUCAGAUGUGAAAUCCCCGAGCUUAACUUGGGAACUGCAUUUGAAACUGGCAAGCUGGAGUCUUGUAGAGGGGGGUAGAAUUCCAGGUGUAGCGGUGAAAUGCGUAGAGAUCUGGAGGAAUACCGGUGGCGAAGGCGGCCCCCUGGACAAAGACUGACGCUCAGGUGCGAAAGCGUGGGGAGCAAACAGGAUUAGAUACCCCAGUAGUCCCUGUCUCUUAUAC
Molecule: ribosomal RNA, 301 nt
Filed under: uncultured bacterium
Lineage: Bacteria
Description: partial 16S ribosomal RNA
Rfam family: Bacterial small subunit ribosomal RNA
Source: RNAcentral